UACGUAGGGUGCAAGCGUUAAUCGGAAUUACUGGGCGUAAAGCGUGCGCAGGCGGCUCGGAAAGCAAGAUGUGAAAUCCCAGGGCUUAACCUUGGAAUGGCAUUUUUAACUACCGGGCUAGAGUGUGUCAGAGGGGGGUGGAAUUCCACGUGUAGCAGUGAAAUGCGUAGAGAUGUGGAGGAACACCGAUGGCGAAGGCAGCCCCCUGGGAUAACACUGACGCUCAGGCACGAAAGCGUGGGGAGCAAACAGG
Molecule: ribosomal RNA, 253 nt
Filed under: uncultured bacterium
Lineage: Bacteria
Description: partial 16S ribosomal RNA
Rfam family: Bacterial small subunit ribosomal RNA
Source: RNAcentral